AUGAACGCUGGCGGCGUGCCUAAUACAUGCAAGUCGCGCGAACGGACGAGAAGCUUGCUUCUCUGAUGUUAGCGGCGGACGGGUGAGUAACACGUGGAUAACCUACCUAUAAGACUGGGAUAACUUCGGGAAACCGGAGCUAAUACCGGAUAAUAUUUUGAACCGCAUGGUUCAAAAGUGAAAGACGGUCUUGCUGUCACUUAUAGGUGGAUCCGCGCUGCAUUAGCUAGUUGGUAAGGUAACGGCUUACCAAGGCAACGAUGCAUAGCCGACCUGAGAGGGUGAUCGGCCACACUGGAACUGAGACACGGUCCAGACUCCUACGGGAGGCAGCAGUAGGGAAUCUUCCGCAAUGGGCGAAAGCCUGACGGAGCAACGCCGCGUGAGUGAUGAAGGUCUUCGGAUCGUAAAACUCUGUUAUUAGGGAAGAACAUAUGUGUAAGUAACUGUGCACAUCUUGACGGUACCUAAUCAGAAAGCCACGGCUAACUACGUG
Molecule: ribosomal RNA, 496 nt
Filed under: uncultured bacterium
Lineage: Bacteria
Description: partial 16S ribosomal RNA
Rfam family: Bacterial small subunit ribosomal RNA
Source: RNAcentral